Molecule: long non-coding RNA, 3679 nt
Filed under: Salvia miltiorrhiza (redroot sage)
Lineage: Eukaryota; Viridiplantae; Streptophyta; Magnoliopsida; Lamiales; Lamiaceae
Description: long non-coding RNA (SMIL_LNC006686)
Source: RNAcentral
AUGUGCAGGAAGAAAUGAAUGUAGUGGUUCACUUGAAUGGUACUCGUCCGCCCAUAUAAAAACCUUUACGUGAUCCUUACCAGUAGGGCACUUGUAGAAAUAUCUGCCAGCGUUACGUGUAUGUUUUUCCGCGCACAACAACACCAUCUUCCCACAACCACAUGGACUAAAGGGUACCCCUUCAAAGUCUUCAUACAUGUCAACCAACUAUAAACCUGCACAAAAUAUAAAUACAUAACAAGAUGAAUCAGACUCCAGUGAGGGACAAGCAUAUGAUGUUUGAGUAAUAAGAGAUGGUCUGUGCAAAAUAUUAGAUAGAAAAUGAUUAAGAUGUGUCUGUACAAGAAAUAUCAAUAUACUCAAAGGGAGAAUUAACUUCAAUGCAGAAUUAUAUAAUAAACAGAACAAGUGUCAUGGCAUCUUUCAAUUCAAUGCAAAUCCCCUCACCUAUGUAAGUUAAAGGCUUGUUCAAUUACUAAAUUCAAACAAGUACAAGGAUCAGAGAGCUGUGUAAUUCUGCCAACGUUUGCCAAUCCAUCCCUAUGAACAUUCCACUCGGAUGAAGAUUCAAUGGUGUCUACACACUCUUGAGGGUGUCAUCAUCGUAUUCGUUUACUACGGGCAGGGUAUCAAAGGCUUGUUCUAUUGGGUCCACUACUAUCUGUGACUGAAUAAAGUUGUUAAUGAGGAAACACACCAUUAUCAAUCUAUUUUGCAUCUUAAUCGAGUAAUAGGUGGUGCUCAUAAGAAUACUCCAUCUCAUCUUCAUGAUUUCGAAUGCCCGCUCAAUUACAUUAUGUGCUUUCGUGUGCCUCAAAUUAAACAACUCCUGCACAUUUUGUGGCUUUGUAGCAGCGGGGCCCCAUUCUUGCAAAUGGUACCUCACUCUCUUAUAUGGAGCUAGAAAUCCCUCACUAUUGGCAUAUCCAUUAUCGCAUAAAUAAUAGUUCCCUACCACAUAAAUAGGAAAGUGGACAAUUCCUCACCCAAGUCUGCACAUACAAAAAGGGUGAGAAAAUAAAAGAAAGGAAUAUCCAUAUUCAAAAUAAUAAUAUAUAUGGGGAAAGAAAACAAGUACCACUUCUGUGGCUAAGCAGAGGUCGUUGGCAAAAGACACUAAGUCCAUCGAAUCAAAUUUCUGAAGGUCAGAUGAAACUAUCUGAGCUUCCAUUUGUGACUGGCAUUCCGCGCCAGUUAGAUCCCGAAGAGAGCACGGGCCAGGAAAUACAGGGAGAGAGGUCCCAGUGUCUUUGACCUGUGCAUCCCCACCAGCCUGCACGGGGCUGGAAAUGAGAAGUUGAAGAGAAUCGUCAUCUCCCGAAGCACCUGGGGUGGUUUUCUUUUUCUUCUUCUUUGAGGCGGUUGAAUNCGGUUGAGGGCAUCUCGUAGUAUUCAUGAAUCUGAUGCGAACCUCCUAGCCGGCCAGUACAUGUACAAAUUUUAAGUCUCUAUCACAUACGGCAAGGGUGUUAGUGGAUAUUUGGUCUUUCCGGGUCCUAUAACGGGCUUAUCGCUGCUCGGAACCGUUACAUUAAUGUAGCUCCCAUCUAAGGCACCUAGACAACCCUACGAGUAACAAUUCAAAAAUCAAGUUAUAACUAAUCAUAAAUACUUCGCAUUCGAACAAGAUCUUGCCAUAUUGCAAAAACUACAUAUCACUGCUACUUGCGUGCAUAUUAAAUGAUGGUUUUAUAACUAUUUUUUACCUUGAACCAUCUCCAAUGGGGAUCGGUGCAACCAUCAGGAACGGGCUCAGGCUUCACCAACAAUAUCACGUGUAAAUUUAUGAUGGCCUUUAGCACUAUGUGGAUGUAAUAAGAGAUGGUUUGUCCGGAUCUCCAAAAAUCAAAAUUAACAACUUUGUUUUUUUUUUGUGAUGUGCUAAGCCAGACAAGAAAACGACAACUUGCUCUUCCACACUCACAUAGUUCCCAUCAUACAACCCACCCAAUUCUAGUAGUAAAUUUCACAAUCUACCAAAAUUAUUUAGAUCCAUUCUUAAAUUAAUAAUGCAGUCUGUAUCACUAACACAUGUUAGCCUAUUCAAGUGCUUAACCUGAUCGGGGAUCCGGCUAAGCAUUAAAUAUUUUUCAACUUCUAGACUUCGCUUUUUUUCUUUGCGACGUUUAUAUCUAAUUAUACCAUCUAGCGCAAUUAUGAGUUGGAGUUUCUGCCGUUGUCUAUCAAAUACACACAAGCAUUAACUUUUCUCGUCACCGGUAUCGCAACUUUUGUCUAUAUAGUGCAAAUAUGUGAGACACUGCAUUUCAUAACGCAUAGCUUACAUACGUUAUACGAGAGAGAAAUAUAUAGGCAAUGCUCAUAUAAGUCCAAAUGCGAAGAACGAUGAAGCACAUAUGCACAUUCAAACAGCACAAACUAAAAUACCUCCUGAACCCAGAUACGAUUUGACAACGAAUAUAAAUUACCAACAUUCAAAAACAGAUGCAGUCAUGUACACAACACAUUCCAUCGACUAGGCCCAAUUAACCAUUACAAAUGAAUAUGAAUUAUCAACAUUCAGAACCAAUUGCAUAUUUGUAGACAGCAACUCUCAUAUAGAUGGCUAGAUGUGACUGAAAAUUUUUAAAAACACAAACACACUAACAAAGCAAUUAUAACAGAGGAGAACACAGGACAUCUAAUGCACAGAUUGAAUUUCAUGCCCCAACAAAAAAUUGUGAAGCACAUAGGCAUCGGAAUAGGAAUUAUAUAAGAUCAUAAAUUUCGCAACAAAGACUCUUUCAAUUCAACAAAAGCUGACAUGAAAAUUAAACACCAGCUACGGAAAUUAGAAAAUACCUCUAUUGUGUUUAAUCGAGUGAAUGACUACUGCAACCAUUUUUCACCAAAGCCCAUUCCAGAUUCUGAAAGAAAUCACAAGUUUUGGAUCGAUACAUCGAAUUCGCAUUUUAACAUACAUGAUCAGAAAAUAAAACAUUACUUUAGCAACAAUCGAAUUGGCGAAUCUACAAUACAACGUGAUAUUGUGUGAUGAGAAAUUGAUUUCAUGAGUUAGAUCGAUGAUUACCUUGUCGAGUCUCGCGUUUCCAAGAGUAAAUUCACCACACCUUGCUAUGGAACCCUAAUGUGAGAGACAUAUAUUUUCAGCUUGCUCGAUUUUGAAUCAAAAAAAUAGAGGGUAGUUUUGGAACCGUAAAUUCUAAUUGAAAUCACUGUAGAAGCCAAGAAAACUAAUAUGGGAGUCUUGGUCUCAUCCAAAUUCAGGCUCAAACAGUGAAAUUUGAUCGGGCUUCCGCCUUUUCUUCGGCUACCCCCAAAACGGAUAUAGGGUACUUCUAACCUACCAAACUUGCCCUUAAUAUAUAGCUUGGCGGUUACUUAAGGGCAAUUGUCCCAAAUAGAGUCAUGGAAGAAGAUGAUUAUGAAAAUCUUCCAGAAAAAAAUAUUUUGGCUCUGAUGGACCGCUGAAGAAAAUAAUUUAUUUAUCCAUGCUUAUUGUUAAUAAUAGUUGAAUAUAGGUUUGGAUUCUAAAAUCUUAAGCUCCACGUGAUGUAUUUCAGGGUGCUAUUAUGUUGUUCAGGACACUGAGAUUUAUUCUCGGCUUAAAUCCUCGCAUGUAGCUCAUACUAGACAAUUUGUUCCAAUGAAUGGGACUUUUAUUUUCAACGACAUGGAUCACAAAUCACAGCAGUUGUUGCUUUAAUCUCGAAAGAGC